AUUAUUUUGUCAGAUUAGUGUAUUAAAGUUAGAAUUUAAUUAAACAUAUGUAUUAUAUAUGUAAAUAAUA
Molecule: transfer RNA, 70 nt
Filed under: Exallonyx sp. ZJUH_2016014
Lineage: Eukaryota; Metazoa; Arthropoda; Insecta; Hymenoptera; Proctotrupidae
Description: tRNA-Leu
Source: RNAcentral